RNAcentral lists this ribosomal RNA (482 nucleotides) under uncultured bacterium. RNAcentral's name for it is "partial 16S ribosomal RNA". It matches the Rfam family "Bacterial small subunit ribosomal RNA", at positions 30 to 507 of the family's 1533-position model. The record is from RNAcentral.
AUUGAACGCUGGCGGCAAGCUUUACACAUGCAAGUCGAACGGUAACAGGCCGCAAGGUGCUGACGAGUGGCGAACGGGUGAGUAAUGCAUCGGAACGUGCCCAGUCGUGGGGGAUAACUACUCGAAAGAGUAGCUAAUACCGCAUACGAUCUAUGGAUGAAAGCGGGGGACCGUAAGGCCUCGCGCGAUUGGAGCGGCCGAUGUCAGAUUAGGUAGUUGGUGGGGUAAAGGCUCACCAAGCCAACGAUCUGUAGCUGGUCUGAGAGGACGACCAGCCACACUGGGACUGAGACACGGCCCAGACUCCUACGGGAGGCAGCAGUGGGGAAUUUUGGACAAUGGGCGCAAGCCUGAUCCAGCAAUGCCGCGUGCAGGAAGAAGGCCUUCGGGUUGUAAACUGCUUUUGUACGGAACGAAACGGCUCUGGUUAAUACCCGGGGCUAAUGACGGUACCGUAAGAAUAAGCACCGGCUAACUACGUG